UACAGAGGUCUCAAGCGUUGUUCGGAAUCACUGGGCGUAAAGGGUGCGUAGGCGGGUCUUUAAGUCAGGGGUGAAAUCCUGGAGCUCAACUCCAGAACUGCCUUUGAUACUGAGGAUCUUGAGUUCGGGAGAGGUGAGUGGAACUGCGAGUGUAGAGGUGAAAUUCGUAGAUAUUCGCAAGAACACCAGUGGCGAAGGCGGCUCACUGGCCCGAUACUGACGCUGAGGCACGAAAGCGUGGGGAGCAAACAGG
This 253-nucleotide ribosomal RNA is filed under the name uncultured bacterium. Its description in RNAcentral is "partial 16S ribosomal RNA". It matches the Rfam family "Bacterial small subunit ribosomal RNA", at positions 524 to 776 of the family's 1533-position model. The record is from RNAcentral.